CGCUAUGGCUGUUCUCACUCCCGAGCGGGUCGGGGACUGCAGAGCCCAGCCGGUCCUGACACCGCGCCGACGCACUCCGGUGACCCACGUCCUGAUGUUUCCUCCAAUCAGAUGAGAUGGCAAACCUCAGGCCUCUGAGCAACUAAAUAAAGGCCACGAUGCUGGUGAGACCUAUUAAAAAGAGAAGAAAAAGGUGGAGGAAUGGAAAUGUGAAGAUAGAGAAAUGAGUAGGGAGAUAGAGAACAAAAUUGGAAAAAGAGUUGGAAAUAAUACUGUUAUUUUGAAAAAUGAAAGAAAAUAGUGCUAAUUUACCAUAAACCUAUAGGAUCUUCCUCUUCUGUCCUAGAAGAUUCCUCUUGUCUUUCUAGGUUGUUCCUUGUCUUGUCAUAGAAGUAAGGCAGUAAGAUGGGUGGCAAUGUGCCUGUUCUUACCUAAUUGAUUUAUUAAUCUUUGUGUGCAUAUUGGAAGUACCUUAAAGUAUUUAUGUAUCAGGUAUAUGAUUGGAUCCAUGCUUGUUACCCUCUAGAAUUUUCAAAUUGUGUCUUGCACCUUGCGCAGUGACUUAAAACUGAACCUCAGAAACAUGCCAAUUUUUGUCCCAUUUACUAUUAAGGAUUAUUAUCUGCAAAAGUUAUUUCAUGACCCUACAAACUAUUUUGAACUUCCUAGAACAUAAAGCUGUAAAAACUGUAUUAUGAAUUGAGUUGCUAUAUGUCAAUAGCAAUAAAAAUCCUCUAAUUUAUCAUAA
Heterocephalus glaber (naked mole-rat) is the source of this 748-nucleotide non-coding RNA. The record is from RefSeq and is a predicted model, not a curated record. Lineage: Eukaryota; Metazoa; Chordata; Mammalia; Rodentia; Bathyergidae.